Molecule: ribosomal RNA, 309 nt
Filed under: uncultured eukaryote
Lineage: Eukaryota
Description: partial 18S ribosomal RNA
Rfam family: Eukaryotic small subunit ribosomal RNA
Source: RNAcentral
CCCUUAGAUGUUCUGGGCGGCCCGCGCACUACACUGGCACUCUCAAUCAGAGCCUGGAUCUAACACUUUGGGGUAUUCUAUGAAGUGGUGUCGUGACUGGGAUCAACCCUUGCAAUUAUUGGUUACGAACGAGGAAUUCCUUGUAAUCGCGGUUUAUCAGCCCGCGUUGAAUGCGUCCCUGCCCUUUGUACACACCGCCCGUCGCUCCUACCGAUGGAUCGUCCGGUGAAGCUCAUGGAGGGGCGGUUGUCUCAGCUGCCGUCGAAGUGAAAUGGACCUCACGAUCUAGAGGAAGGAGAAGUCGUAACA